GAUGAACGCUGGCGGCGUGCCUAAUACAUGCAAGUAGAACGCUGAAGGAGGAGCUUGCUCUUCUGGAUGAGUUGCGAACGGGUGAGUAACGCGUAGGUAACCUGCCUGGUAGCGGGGGAUAACUAUUGGAAACGAUAGCUAAUACCGCAUGACAACAGUUAUUGCAUGAUAACUGUUUAAAAGGGGCAACUGCUCCACUACCAGAUGGCCCUGCGUUGUAUUAGCUAGUUGGUGAGGUAACGGCUCACCAAGGCGACGAUACAUAGCCGACCUGAGGGGGGGAACGGCCAAACUGGGAAUGGGACACGGCCCAGACUCCUACGGGAGGGAGCAGGAGGGGAUCUUCGGCAAAGGAGGGAAGGCUGACCGAGCAACGCCGCGGGAGUGAAGAAGGUUUUCGGGUCGUAAAGCUCUGUUGUAAGAGAAGAAAGAGUGUGAGAGUGGAAAGUUCACACUGUGACGGUAUCUAACCAGAAAGGGACGGCUAACUACGUG
Molecule: ribosomal RNA, 495 nt
Filed under: uncultured bacterium
Lineage: Bacteria
Description: partial 16S ribosomal RNA
Rfam family: Bacterial small subunit ribosomal RNA
Source: RNAcentral